RNAcentral lists this ribosomal RNA (944 nucleotides) under uncultured Burkholderiales bacterium. RNAcentral describes it as "bacterial SSU rRNA". It matches the Rfam family "Bacterial small subunit ribosomal RNA", at positions 55 to 999 of the family's 1533-position model. Lineage: Bacteria; Pseudomonadati; Pseudomonadota; Betaproteobacteria; Burkholderiales. The record is from RNAcentral.
AUGCAAGUCGAACGGUAGAGGGGGCAACCCCUUGAGAGUGGCGAACGGGUGAGUAGUAUAUCGGAACGUGCCCAGUCGUGGGGGAUAACGUAGCGAAAGUUACGCUAAUACCGCAUACGAUCUAAGGAUGAAAGCGGGGGAUCGCAAGACCUCGCGCGACUGGAGCGGCCGAUAUCAGAUUAGGUAGUUGGUAGGGUAAAGGCCUACCAAGCCAACGAUCUGUAGCUGGUCUGAGAGGACGACCAGCCACACUGGAACUGAGACACGGUCCAGACUCCUACGGGAGGCAGCAGUGGGGAAUUUUGGACAAUGGGCGAAAGCCUGAUCCAGCCAUUCCGCGUGCAGGAUGAAGGCCCUCGGGUUGUAAACUGCUUUUGUACAGAACGAAAAGGUCUCUAUUAAUACUGGGGGCUCAUGACGGUACUGUAAGAAUAAGCACCGGCUAACUACGUGCCAGCAGCCGCGGUAAUACGUAGGGUGCAAGCGUUAAUCGGAAUUACUGGGCGUAAAGCGUGCGCAGGCGGUUAUAUAAGUCAGAUGUGAAAUCCCCGGGCUCAACCUGGGAACUGCAUUUGAGACUGUAUAGCUAGAGUACGGUAGAGGGGGAUGGAAUUCCGCGUGUAGCAGUGAAACGCGUAGAUAUGCGGAGGAACACCGAUGGCGAAGGCAAUCCCCUGGACCUGUACUGACGCUCAUGCACGAAAGCGUGGGGAGCAAACAGGAUUAGAUACCCUGGUAGUCCACGCCCUAAACGAUGUCAACUGGUUGUUGGGUCUUAACUGACUCAGUAACGAAGCUAACGCGUGAAGUUGACCGCCUGGGGAGUACGGCCGCAAGGUUGAUACUCAAAGGAAUUGACGGGGACCCGCACAAGCGGUGGAUGAUGUGGUUUUAUUCGAUGCAACGCGAAAAAACUUACCCACCUUUGACAUGUACGGAAGGAU